Molecule: long non-coding RNA, 300 nt
Filed under: Lepeophtheirus salmonis (salmon louse)
Lineage: Eukaryota; Metazoa; Arthropoda; Copepoda; Siphonostomatoida; Caligidae
Description: uncharacterized LOC121117867
Source: RNAcentral
AUAAUACGUAUAUGUUAGUAAAGGAAAAAUUUACCUGGUGAAAUGGUCGACAAGCAAGGAGACUGGAGAAGUGAAAACGGGCCUGUCACAAGGAUAAAAGUGAAAGAAGAAGGAAUUCUUAUGGACUCACAUCUGAACGCACCAUAUUUUAUACAUGAAUAGUCCCUUCGCUUUUACUCAUGAUGCAAUAUUCUUGGAGGAAUAGUAGAUAAUUCAUUAUUAUUAAGUAGUAUAAGUAAUUAUUACUAUAAUCAUCAUAUUAUUUUCCACAAAUACAUCUAGUACUAACUCAUAACGAUA